AUGCACUGGAAAAAAUGGAAGGACAUUGCUAUACCAAAAUGUGAGGGGGGAAUGGGAUUUAGAGAUUUUGGUCUCUUUAACCAAGCCAUGCUAGCGAAGCAAGGAUGGAGAUUGCUGACUAGUCCUGAUUCUCUGUGUGCGAGGGUUCUUAAAGGACGAUAUUAUCACAAUUCUGAUUUUUUGUCGGCAUCGAAUAAGAGGAACUCCUCCCACACAUGGAGAGCUAUUUUACAUGGAAGAGAGACUUUGAAACUGGGUUUAAUUAAACGAGUUGGAGAUGGUGCAAGUAUUAAAAUCUGGGAGGAUCCAUGGAUUGCUUCAAAUCAUGGCUACCGACCAAUCAUCCGGUUGCCAGGGGCAACUGCUACAAAGGUAGAAGAUCUCAUUGAUCAUGAGAAUGGUACAUGGAAUCAGGAGGCUCUGGAAUCGAACUUUGUGGCUCCGGAUAUUCAUGCAUACGUGCAAUGCCAAUCAGUAACUGGGGAGAUGUUGUAUGGGCCUGGGAGAAAGAGAAAAAUGGCCAUUUUACAAUGCGAUCGGCAUAUAAAAUUCUAA
RNAcentral lists this ribosomal RNA (555 nucleotides) under Triticum aestivum (bread wheat). Its description in RNAcentral is "partial small subunit ribosomal RNA". Lineage: Eukaryota; Viridiplantae; Streptophyta; Magnoliopsida; Poales; Poaceae. The record is from RNAcentral.